UUCAAAAAAAGGGAAAAAAAUCCGAAAAAUCAACACUCUAAGCAGAGACGGUGGCGCCGGGGCCGGAGCCACCGCCGUCCUGAGGCGGCGGCAGCCACCGUCCUCAUAUGUGGCCACGUCGAGAGAGAUGGUUAACCUGUCGUUCUUGCAUCGUUUCUCCGCCCGUCGAUGGCGGAACAGAGCCAAGCGCCGGAUCGAUUUGCCCGGCAUCUUCCCGUAGCUCGGGCGAUUCUGCGCAUGUCACGCUGCUGCUCUGCCGCUUCAUCCAUGGGAAUUUCGAAUUCGCAGUGUUCCCCUUAUCGGGACUCGACAGAAUCGGCAUUCCAAAACCCAUGAUGAAGCUGCAAUGGCGUCCGCGGAAUUGCCUUGUUAUCACGUUGUCGUGCAUUAGCAGACGGCUUUUCCGGCACUUUCGAUCAAACAAAAACAAAAGUGAAGCAUGAUGGUGGAGCUUUGACAUCAGAGAGGAGAUUCUUAUGUACACUGUUGUCAUGCUUUAAACCAAGCAUCCCCCCUGUUUCCCCAUUUUGGUUUAUCAAUAAUUUACACAAGAUGAGCUCAUAUUUUCCAUUUUCUCCUUUUGGAGGAAGAUUCACACUCAGUAUCAUGAUGAUUACAAAUCAGCAUUACAAGGGAAGUUACAAAAUGAGACUAAGCUCAAAUAUAGACUUAUGGUUGAAGUUGAGAUCACGUCCAGCUAACAUGGACGGAGAUUUGAGAUCUUAGAGACAUUGAGGUACUACAAGCUAUGUAUAUCCUUUCACUUUAUUCAAAUACCAUUGCACCAGGAAGCAUUUUGACUCAGUUCUGAGAUAAUUUUUCCCCCGACAAGAAGUAUUACUGGCUUAAUAUCAAUGGCUCAGGGGUUCUUGUAGCUCUAGUUUAUUUUCAGUACAUCUAUUUUGAAGGUACUGACACAGGUGUCUUUAGCUGAACUUGCUGAAUGUGGAAAUUGAAAAGUUUACUUUGAUAUCUCUUUGUAA
Eucalyptus grandis is the source of this 983-nucleotide long non-coding RNA. RefSeq lists it as uncharacterized. The transcript is spliced from 2 exons. The record is from RefSeq and is a predicted model, not a curated record. NCBI's taxonomy places the organism in Eukaryota, Viridiplantae, Streptophyta, Magnoliopsida, Myrtales, Myrtaceae.